CAUUGAGUGAUGAAAAGCAGCAGACCUGCCGCUUUUAUUGUGAAAAGCUGGGAGCAGAAGCAGUGGUUGUCUCCUGGUGAAACACAAACAGCUCGGAGAUAAAGUAGCGGUGGACAGACAGACGGACUGACAGACUGACUGACUGAUACCAGUGAUCUCCCCCACAGUCUGCACCACAGUUGACAAAAUAAGAGAAACACCAACUCCAGCUUGGUGGUAAUUAAAUCUCAGCUCCAGUUGGGAUUGUGUGCCAGCUUCAGAGGAGACAACCAACUCCUCAACUCCCAGCAUGAGUGAGUUAACAGACUUUGACAGGGGCCAAAUAGUUGGUGCACAGCUUGCAGGUCUGUCGGUCAGAAAAACUGCCCAGUUAUGUGAUGUGUCGAGUCGAACUGUCCUCAAAGUCAUGAGUGUUUAUAACAAACACGGAGACACUGUAUCAGCAAAGAAGAGCAGGAGGCAGGAGCCACAGAGCAAAAGGAGAAGACUGACAAAAGCUGAUGUUAAAGGAGGAGCUGCCAGUGGGAAACCAGUAUCUGAACCUCUGGUGGACACACAAAACCCAGAUGAAGAGAGCCACAGAGCCCAGACUAAAGACAAGGAGUAAUAUGGUCUGAUGAGCUGUGCUUCACUCUUUCUGUUAUAUUUAGAGUGGUUAAUGUGUGCAUAAAGCCUCAGGAUGCCUUCAUUUAAAUAAGCUAUAAAGACAUGUUUAGGUUUAAUUUAAAGGCUUGACAAUGGCCAGGGAAUAUGAGCCUUUUCUGUAAGCUAUGAUACAUUUACAGGCUUUUCCCAAGCUUUCUUGGUUAUGUUUUAUAACCUUCAGCUAGCAUUUAGCUGUGUGAGCUAAUGUCCAAAGUUCAAGGUAGAAUUUAUUGUCAUUCAAUACUCAGUAUACAGUCUAUACAGUAUGUACAGUAUACAGGGGGAACGUCAUUACAUUCCUCCUAUUCUGUACACUAUAAACAGAUACACACAGUAGUGUACAAGUAGUAUUACGUUGAGUAAAGUGCAAUGAAUGAAAUAUGUUGCUAAUAUCCAAACACUGAUAAUACCUCCUGUAUGUUAAUUAAAUUAAUGACUGUGCCUCUGAUGGGGACUGAUGUUGA
Molecule: long non-coding RNA, 1109 nt
Organism: Dicentrarchus labrax (European seabass)
Lineage: Eukaryota; Metazoa; Chordata; Actinopteri; Moronidae
Exons: 2
Source: RefSeq, a predicted model, not a curated record